RNAcentral lists this ribosomal RNA (118 nucleotides) under [Phormidium] sp. LEGE 05292. The record is from RNAcentral. Lineage: Bacteria; Bacillati; Cyanobacteriota; Cyanophyceae; Aerosakkonematales; Aerosakkonemataceae.
CCUGGUGCUGUGGGCGCAAUGGAACCACACCGAUUCCAUCCCGAACUCGGUGGUGAAACGUUGCUGCGGCGAAGAUACUUGGCGGGUUGCUGCCUGGGACAAUAGCAAGGUGCCAGGG